UAACCACUCAAGCCUCGGCUUGGUCUUGGGGUUCGCGGUCCCGCGGCCCUUAAAAUCAGUGGCGGUGGCGUCUGGCUCUAAGCGUAGUAAUUCUCUCGCUAUAGGGUCCCGGCGGUUGCCUGCCAGAACCCCCCAUUUUUUAC
Molecule: unclassified non-coding RNA, 143 nt
Filed under: uncultured Cadophora
Lineage: Eukaryota; Fungi; Ascomycota; Leotiomycetes; Helotiales
Description: sequence contains ITS2
Source: RNAcentral